CCUCAGCCUCCCAAAGUGCUAGGAUUACAGGCGUGAGUCACUGCGCCUGGCCCAAGUCCGGAAUUUUCAACAGGACAUGGGUGUUACUGUGCCCAUGUGACAUUUGGGGAACCCAAGGCCCUGAGAAAGGCAGAAAAAUAACCCACGCAGGGACUCUCAGCCCACAAGUGAAGCUGAGAACCGGGAAUGGAAAACAGGGAGGCAGCACAGAGGCAGGAAACUCAGGUGUCAUAGCUUGGCUCAGCUUGGAAUGCACUCCCUCCACCUCCAACCAGAGCUCCCCACAACUGACCCUGCCUUCUUCUGCAAGCUCCAUUUCAUCAAGGGAAACGAUCCUUAUUGCCUCACCAUUUCCCACGUGAAGUCUGUAUUGACAUUCUCAUAGACCUGGGAUAUUGUGUCUGCAGCACAUAGUCCAAUUAUUUUCAUGUUAUCUACUGACAGGUCUAUUUGUCUCCCUGUUACACUGUGAGCUCCGUGAGGGCAGAAACAAUGUUAGUAUUUUCACUGCUGUGUCCCCAGCGCCUGGUCCGGGGCCCGGCACACAGCAGGCAUAUAAUAAGCAUGUGUUGAAUCAAUAAAGGCAUCAAAGAAUAAACCAAUACAUCAAUCAA
This 614-nucleotide long non-coding RNA is filed under the name Homo sapiens (human). RNAcentral describes it as "non-protein coding MIR7-3HG:12". Lineage: Eukaryota; Metazoa; Chordata; Mammalia; Primates; Hominidae. The record is from RNAcentral.